UGCGCGGGUACGCUAUAAAAGCGAAGAGCGCCGGACUGUCGGCCUCUUGAGAUGGAAGUUGGAGAAGUUGAGGAGGAAGAUGGCUGGGAUUUGGUGGACCCUACCUGAAGAGGGCUGCCUGUGGCAUACGGCGCCCAAGUCAAGAUGGCGGCCGUGGUCUCUACUGCCUGGGUGACUGUUCGCGCGGUGGGAGCAGGUGCGCGUCUCUCCACUUCUGCGCAGGACUGGCUGAUCAGGAUGCGAUCCUGUAGGGAUCUGAGGUCUGCAAAAUGGCAAUCCAGGAGUGUUGGAUGCCGAGGGUGCCCCACUGAGACUUGCUGAGAGGUGACUGCACUGUGCGAGUGGAGCUAUGGAAACCACGCAAGAUGUUCUGUCAAGGGGCAGCUGAGUUAAGCUGAGAAGCCCGAGUCUUCAUCCCAUGCUGCAUGGAGGUUUAUUUUCGCAGUGUUGAAAUCUGAGAAUGCGGUGUGCUUGUUACUGAUCAACCCGUUUACAUACCUGAUGGAUCUUCAGUGUUGAAAUUCAAAACUGUCAAUAAAACACUCUGUUUCAA
Lepisosteus oculatus (spotted gar) is the source of this 553-nucleotide long non-coding RNA. RefSeq lists it as uncharacterized. Lineage: Eukaryota; Metazoa; Chordata; Actinopteri; Semionotiformes; Lepisosteidae. The record is from RefSeq and is a predicted model, not a curated record.